This 32-nucleotide non-coding RNA is filed under the name Mus musculus (house mouse). The record is from RNAcentral. Lineage: Eukaryota; Metazoa; Chordata; Mammalia; Rodentia; Muridae.
UACAAAUUGUGGAUGGAACAAUUUCUGUAAAU